This 253-nucleotide ribosomal RNA is filed under the name uncultured bacterium. RNAcentral's name for it is "partial 16S ribosomal RNA". It matches the Rfam family "Bacterial small subunit ribosomal RNA", at positions 524 to 776 of the family's 1533-position model. The record is from RNAcentral.
UACAGAGGGGGCAAGCGUUGUUCGGAAUUACUGGGCGUAAAGGGCUCGUAGGCGGCCAACUAAGUCAUACGUGAAAUCCCUCAGCUUAACUGGGGAACUGCGUGUGAUACUGGAUGGCUUGGAUUUGGGAGAGGGAUGCGGAAUUCCAGGUGUAGCGGUGAAAUGCGUAGAUAUCUGGAGGAACACCGGUGGCGAAGGCGGCAUCCUGGACCAAUAUUGACGCUGAGGAGCGAAAGCUAGGGGAGCAAACGGG